GACGAACGCUGGCGGCGUGCUUAACACAUGCAAGUCGAACGGCAAGGCCCUGCUUUUGUGCUGUGCUCGAGUGGCGAACGGGUGAGUAACAAGUGAGUAACCUGCCCUUGACUUUGGGAUAACUUCAGGAAACUGGGGCUAAUACCGGAUAGGAGCUCCUGCUCCAUGGUGGGGGUUGGAAAGUUUCGGCGGUCGGGGAUGGAUUCGCGGCUUAUCGGCUAGUUGGUGGGGUAGUGGCUUACCAACGCUUUGACGGGUCGCCGGCCUGGGAGGGUGACCGGGGUCAAGACUCCUACGAGAGGCCGCAGUCGGGUACGGUAGGCAACAGUGGGAAGCAUGACCCAGUGAGCCGGCGUCUGUGACAGCGGCGUUGGGUUCGGAAAGCCCUCUUUCGGGUUGAGAACCGCUGUCGCCUGUGACGAAGCGUGAGUGACGGUACUGGGUAAAGAAGCACCGGCUAACUACGUG
RNAcentral lists this ribosomal RNA (468 nucleotides) under uncultured bacterium. Its description in RNAcentral is "partial 16S ribosomal RNA". It matches the Rfam family "Bacterial small subunit ribosomal RNA", at positions 28 to 507 of the family's 1533-position model. The record is from RNAcentral.